RNAcentral lists this transfer RNA (67 nucleotides) under Marmota monax (woodchuck). Its description in RNAcentral is "tRNA.Ala". The record is from RNAcentral. Lineage: Eukaryota; Metazoa; Chordata; Mammalia; Rodentia; Sciuridae.
GGUUGUGGCUCAGCGGUAGAGCACUCGCCUAGCACGAGCGAGGCCCUGGGUUCAAUCCUCAGCACCA